Heterocephalus glaber (naked mole-rat) is the source of this 151-nucleotide small nuclear RNA. Its record names the gene U2. It matches the Rfam family "U2 spliceosomal RNA". From Rfam's summary of the family: U2 is a small nuclear RNA (snRNA) component of the spliceosome (involved in pre-mRNA splicing). Complementary binding between U2 snRNA (in an area lying towards the 5' end but 3' to hairpin I) and the branchpoint sequence (BPS) of the intron results the bulging out of an unpaired adenosine, on the BPS, which initiates a nucleophilic attack at the intronic 5' splice site, thus starting the first of two transesterification reactions that mediate splicing. NCBI's taxonomy places the organism in Eukaryota, Metazoa, Chordata, Mammalia, Rodentia, Bathyergidae. The record is from Ensembl.
AUCGCUUCUCGGCCUUUUGGCUAAGAUCAAGUGUAAAAACUAUGCACUGAACACACGUACUAGCAUUUAAAAACUGUGUUAGACUUGCCUCUUUGAGUUUAUGAAAUGAAGCACCUAUAUUACUACAUCAUAUAUGUUUUUUCAGUGUUCA